CAGCAGCCGCGGUAAUACGUAGGGUGCAAGCGUUAAUCGGAAUUACUGGGCGUAAAGCGUGCGCAGGCGGUUCGGAAAGAAAGGUGUGAAAUCCCAGGGCUUAACCUUGGAACUGCACUUUUAACUACCGGGCUAGAGUGUGUCAGAGGGGGGUGGAAUUCCGCGUGUAGCAGUGAAAUGCGUAGAGAUGCGGAGGAACACCGAUGGCGAAGGCAGCCCCCUGGGAUAACACUGACGCUCAUGCACGAAAGCGUGGGGAGCAAACAGGAUUAGAUACCCCUGUAGUCCCUGUCUCUUAUAC
RNAcentral lists this ribosomal RNA (301 nucleotides) under uncultured bacterium. RNAcentral describes it as "partial 16S ribosomal RNA". It matches the Rfam family "Bacterial small subunit ribosomal RNA", at positions 509 to 807 of the family's 1533-position model. The record is from RNAcentral.